GCGUAAGCGCGCGCAGGUGGUUUCUUAAGUCUGAUGUGAAAGCCCACGCCCCUACCGUGGAGGGUCAUUGGAAACUGGGAGACUUGAGUGCCCCUGAGGAAAGUGGAAUUCCAUGUGUAGCGGUGAAAUGCGUAGAGAUGUGGAGGAACACCAGUGGCGAAGGCGGCUCUCUGGUCUGUACCUGACGCUGAGGCGCGAAAGCGUGGGGGGCGAACAGGAUUAGAUACCCUGGUAGUCCACCCCGUAAACGAUGAGUGCUAAUGGUUAGAGGGUUCCCC
Molecule: ribosomal RNA, 278 nt
Filed under: Bacillus cereus
Lineage: Bacteria; Bacillati; Bacillota; Bacilli; Caryophanales; Bacillaceae
Description: partial 16S ribosomal RNA
Rfam family: Bacterial small subunit ribosomal RNA
Source: RNAcentral